RNAcentral lists this long non-coding RNA (3010 nucleotides) under Gallus gallus (chicken). Its description in RNAcentral is "lncRNA (ENSGALG00010030015.1)". The record is from RNAcentral. Lineage: Eukaryota; Metazoa; Chordata; Aves; Galliformes; Phasianidae.
AGCGCGGCGGCAGCGGCGCUCCUGCAGCGCUGCCCGGAGCGCACCCCGCGGCCCCGCGGCCGCGCUCUGGGGCUGCUGUGUCGGAAACACCGCCGCGGUGCCACGCCAAAUCCGUACAGCGAGGACAGAAACGCUGCCUCGACGUUACGCACGUGGAGCAGUUUUACAGACUGAUACCAAACGCCGCUUCUACUGCAGAAGUGCUGUGUCACAAAAAGCAUCGCAAGGCACGGUCAGCGUGCAGGCAGGGUCGGCGAGCGCUCUGUGAGGACGCUAAACUCGACACAAUGAUAUGAAAAAGGUGGAAAACUGACCCAAGCCAUGCCCCAGAAAAGGAGCCUGACAGUGACACUUGGUGCUGUGGUCUCCGCCCUCACGUAGAACCUGCAAAGCCUUCACUCCUUCUUUUUGGCCAUCCUCCAGGGCAACACGGAACCACGAGUUCCCCGACACACGGGAGCCUAAAACCCACACUCAGAGCUCUGCAGCUGAGCCACCUCUCCGCAGCAGCACCAGCACAUUUUGCCGAGGAAUGAAGAUGGGAAACUGCAGACGUUUCUCAGCUGUACUGCUGCAGUGUCAUCCCGCGUUGCAGUAUUGGUGGAGCAGUGUUGGGGAGGACCCUGGGACGGUUCCAGGGAGCAGAGGGGUGCAGGUGGCUGCUGGUGCCGCUGAGGGGUCUGCCCGCCUCCGUCCUCACUGCUUUCCCACCUGCAGUCGGCCUCGUCUCGCCAUGGAGCUCUUUUGGGAGGGAUUUCAUUCAGGCUGUGAGUUCUACAAGUUGGAAAUGCACGGUGUUAAGUGGAUGAGGAAGAGAGAAACCGCUCCUCCUUGGAUCCCAUCCUCCCUUCUCCUUCUUUUCAGGGAGUCUUUGUUGCCAUACUUCUUCGUAAAGGAGUUUUAUGAAAGCAGUCAAAUAUUAGGUUAGAUCAGAUUUUUCCCCAAUGAAAUUACUGGGAAAGUGGCCACUGGUGUGGGCCAGUUCCUCCUCAUUGUGUACAGCAGCGCUGCCAAGGAGCAGACAGGGAAAGUAACCUGUAAGUCACUGCAAAUAUUUCUGAAUUUGCUUUCAAGCCACCUUGUUUAAACACAAAGACACAAAAACAACAACAGGUUAAAAGAACUGCUUUGAAGAGAAAGAAAAAAUUCUGAAGUUACUUCCUGGCGUCCUGUAUUUCUGCUUUCAUAACAAAUUCAGUUUUACGCAGUUGGGACUUGAAAACAAUUUUUUUAACUAUCAGUCUCAGAGUCUAAAAAUAAAGCCUACGAAGCCCAUGUCCUGCCUGCUCAUGGCAGCUGUGUGCUUCAGGUUCUACAAUCAAAACCACGGAGCCCUGACCCUCCCGUGCUGCACUGCAGUGGUGGGGCUGCAGGAAGAGCGGGCGGAUUGCGCGGAUUGCUCUGGGCUGUGCCUGCACAAGGCCAGGUGUCUGCAUGGAGCACUGCGCUGCUGGCGAGGCCGUACGAGCUCGAGGAAAGCAGAAGUGACAGAAGUCACUCACGGCCCAAGAAUUUCUCAGUGGAAUGGCUGAUAGCAGGAUGGGGAGAGCUGCCAGUAACAGCUCUGCCAGAAGCCUCUGGGUCAGAGGGAAAAGAGAUUUGGAUCCCCAUCAAAUUGGUUUAGUUUGGGGUUUGCUGAAAACAGCAAUAAAUGAAACCCAGAGGUAAAGGGCCUGAUCCAGAGUCGGUGCAUGAUGCCAGCCCUGCCUGGGAUAGGGACAGAGGCCAGCAGCUCAGGCAGGCCCGAGCUGGUCACUCUACUGGCAAUGGUGCAUGGAGCAGAGGAGGAAACAACUCCCUUUGCCUCAGCUUUAUUGGUUCUGGAGUGCUGACAGUAGUAAAAAUGUGUUUUUUCAGUAGACAAAGCAAAUACAACUUUCAAGGCACACAGGAAGCCAAUGUGGGCUUGCUGGAGAUGCUACUCCUGCAGGGUCACAGCACUGAUGAGGAGAGAAGAGGCAUGCAGCUGCCCUGCUGGGGCUCUGGAGGCACAGCUCUGAAAACACAUUAUGUCAAGGAUCUGAUCGCAGCCCACAAGGAUUCACAGAAAGAAUUCCAGAGCGAUUUGCUUCCCGUUAAAUCUGCCCAGAGAAACUGACCGUGUUUGCUGAGCCCCAGGGCUCAGGGGCUUCGUGCUGAACGCAGUGCAGGCGCUGAGCCACUGUGGGCUCGAAGUGAGUCUGCACCUCUACAGCAGAGUGAAUCUCACAGAAAGGAAUAAACCACCCAAAGCUGGUAGAGGAGAAACCAUGCCAGAACACCACAGACAACUGAGUGACAGAGAUUCAACGAAGCGAGAAAUACAGCAACCCCCCAAUGGAGACCUGCAUGUGUGAGUGAUUCAUUGAUGCCAGCUACCAAACAACCCCGACACAUAACAUUUCCCACCUCUGAUAUUUAGAAAGCCCCUCUCACCCUUUUAGCACCAAUGGAGCCCUCGAAAUGUUUUAUUGCUAAUUGUCUAAUGCUCCGUGAUGAAUGGCUGCUUGACUGAAAAUGACAACCCCUUUUCUCUCAACUACUUCAUUUUCCUGGCUCCAGUGGGGGUGAAGAGGAAAAAAUAAAUCCGAUUACAUCAUAUUUAGCCUCUUGGUUAUGAAUGAAGAUUAAACUUAAUUUAAAAGUACUUCUGUCAACGAUGCCCUGAGCCCCCGCUCCCUUACGCUCAGUAAGUGCUGCCUCAGAUGCGGGGGCAAAAUGUUCCAAAGGCAGCGCCUGGUCAGGGCAGCGGAUCACUGAGAUAUCGGGGGAAGCGGCCCGGCCAAAUCUAGAUGGCUGCAUUUGUGAUCACAAGGAAUAUUUUGGCUACUGAGUAAUCAAAGAGCACACUUGAACCCUACACAAAACAACUUCUGACUACAGCCCUGCCUCCAGAAUAAAGGCAACAGGGGAAGGCCCCUCCAACUGGGAAUCGCUGCACUAUUAGCCAUUCUUUGAGUCUGCUCUGGUUGGAAGAUCUGCAAGGAUGAAGGAGAUUUAAUAACUUGAAAAAGAAUAAACCGUGUGUCUU